This 74-nucleotide transfer RNA is filed under the name Corynebacterium sp. RNAcentral describes it as "tRNA-Pro(cgg)". It matches the Rfam family "tRNA". From Rfam's summary of the family: Transfer RNA (tRNA) molecules are approximately 80 nucleotides in length. Their secondary structure includes four short double-helical elements and three loops (D, anti-codon, and T loops). Further hydrogen bonds mediate the characteristic L-shaped molecular structure. tRNAs have two regions of fundamental functional importance: the anti-codon, which is responsible for specific mRNA codon recognition, and the 3' end, to which the tRNAs corresponding amino acid is attached (by aminoacyl-tRNA synthetases). tRNAs cope with the degeneracy of the genetic code in two manners: having more than one tRNA (with a specific anti-codon) for a particular amino acid; and 'wobble' base-pairing, i.e. permitting non-standard base-pairing at the 3rd anti-codon position. The record is from RNAcentral. Lineage: Bacteria; Bacillati; Actinomycetota; Actinomycetes; Mycobacteriales; Corynebacteriaceae. RNAcentral also lists the same sequence under 6 other names.
CGGGAUAUGGCGCAGUUUGGUAGCGCACCUCGUUCGGGACGAGGGGGUCGCAGGUUCAAAUCCUGUUAUCCCGA